RNAcentral lists this ribosomal RNA (680 nucleotides) under uncultured bacterium. RNAcentral's name for it is "bacterial SSU rRNA". It matches the Rfam family "Bacterial small subunit ribosomal RNA", at positions 96 to 778 of the family's 1533-position model. The record is from RNAcentral.
UGGCGCACGGGUGAGUAACGCGUACACAACCUACCCUUCAGUGGGGAAUAGCCCUGGGAAACUGGGAUUAAUACCCCAUAACAUUGAGGUCUUAAGAUUUCAAUUAAAGUUCCGACGCUGAAGGAUGGGUGUGCGUCCCAUUAGCUAGAUGGUAAGGUAACGGCUUACCAUGGCGACGAUGGGUAGGGGGCGUGAGAGCGUGAUCCCCCACACGGGUACUGAGACACGGACCCGACUCCUACGGGAGGCAGCAGUAAGGAAUAUUGGACAAUGGGCGAAAGCCUGAUCCAGCCAUCCCGCGUGCAGGAUGAAUGCCCUAUGGGUUGUAAACUGCUUUUAUGAAGGAAGAAACCCUUGGAUUUAUCCGAGGUUGACGGUACUUCAAGAAUAAGCACCGGCUAACUCCGUGCCAGCAGCCGCGGUAAUACGGAGGGUGCAAGCGUUAUCCGGAAUCACUGGGUUUAAAGGGUGCGUAGGCGGACAAAUAAGUCAGGGGUGAAAGACUUCGGCUCAACUGAAGAAUUGCCUUUGAUACUGUUUGUCUUGAAUUAGGUUGAGGUCAGCGGAAUGUGACAUGUAGCGGUGAAAUGCAUAGAUAUGUCAUAGAACACCAAUUGCGAAGGCAGCUGGCUAGGCCUGAAUUGACGCUGAGGCACGAAAGCGUGGGGAGCGAACAGGAU